UAGGGAAUCUUCGGCAAUGGGCGAAAGCCUGACCCAGCGACGCCGCGUGAGUGAAGACGGCCUUCGGGUUGUAAACUUCUUUUGUAUGGGAAGAAGGACGUGACGGUACCAUACGAAUACGUCCCGGCUAACUACGUGCCAGCAGCCGCGGUAAUACGUAGGUGGCGAGCGUUAUCCGGAAUUAUUGGGCGUAAAGAGCGUGUAGGUGGUUUUGUAAGUCGGAUGUGAAAGCCCUGGGCUUAACCUAGGAAGUGCAUCCGAAACUACAUGGCUAGAGGACGGCAGAGGGAAGUGGAAUUCCUAGUGUAGAGGUGAAAUUCGUAGAUAUUAGGAGGAAUACCGGUGGCGAAGGCGGCUUCCUGGACCGUUCCUGACACUGAGACGCGAAAGCGUGGGUAGCAAACA
RNAcentral lists this ribosomal RNA (405 nucleotides) under uncultured prokaryote. RNAcentral describes it as "bacterial SSU rRNA". It matches the Rfam family "Bacterial small subunit ribosomal RNA", at positions 355 to 774 of the family's 1533-position model. The record is from RNAcentral.